UACCUGGCAGCUGGCCAGUGGCACUGGCUGUGACCCAUGCAACUGCAAUGCUGCUCAUUCCUUCGGGCCGUCUUGCAAUGAGUUCACGGGGCAGUGCCAGUGCAUGCCUGGGUUUGGAGGCCGCACCUGCAGCGAGUGCCAGGAACUCUUCUGGGGAGACCCCGACGUGGAGUGCCGAGGUGAGUUGUGGGCGUUCUCGCAUUGACUUGAUCAGAGAGUGGAGGGAACGGGGGUUCUACAAGAGCCUUCUGUAAAUUAUAAAACACAGUACAAAUUAACGUGUCUAUAAGAACCUGUAUUUAAU
This 304-nucleotide small RNA is filed under the name Pan troglodytes (chimpanzee). Its description in RNAcentral is "processed transcript". Lineage: Eukaryota; Metazoa; Chordata; Mammalia; Primates; Hominidae. The record is from RNAcentral.